Molecule: long non-coding RNA, 3017 nt
Filed under: Homo sapiens (human)
Lineage: Eukaryota; Metazoa; Chordata; Mammalia; Primates; Hominidae
Description: mir-100-let-7a-2-mir-125b-1 cluster host gene, transcript variant 10 (MIR100HG)
Source: RNAcentral
ACAGUUUAACAUUUUCUUUAGUGGUGCAACCUUGUUCUGAGAUUACAGGGAAUGCUGAGUUUUAUUAGGGUUCUUUCAACAAACUCAUUUAAUUGUUGCUGCCCCUUAGCUAGUGCUGAGUCACUCUCAAACUUCACAGCAUUCCACGACAGCUCAUCCUUCUUGACUUUCCUUUUUUUUUCCCUUUUCCUUUUUCCUUUUUUAAGUUCUCUUAAUAUUUUUUAUUCCCAACAGACUUGUCUUUGGACAAAAUUGAGAAGAACUCAUAAACUUGGCUUCCUCGCUUCUGCUCCUCAGACGCGCGUGGAUGAUUUGAAGAUAUUAGCCUAACAAGAUGGAAGCAGGUUUAAAAUUUUACAUAAGAAGUUACCUUUUUCAGUUGUGUUGAUGUUCCUUUCAGCUGGUCCUAUAGUACCCCUCCUCAGGAAUGUCUCCCCAGUGCAAGGACAAAGACUGAAGAGACUGCUAUAUUGAUGGACUCUCAAGCCAACUAUGAAGUUGAAACAAAGAAAGUGAUCACCUGAAGACACCUCCUCUGCUAAGAAACACCCCCAAAUUGUGCAGCUUCUGCCACUAGAACUCUCAGAACAAGAGACAAUCUUUUCAAGAAACAGAAAAACUCAAUAAUGACAUCUAGAUUUUCAUGAGCCAAGAACUUUCCCUUCCUCAUGUGUAUUCCUCUGUUUGUACUUAAAUUCAUGUGACAUUCAUUUUUUUCCUAGUAUGGAUAUGCUUAUUAAUGCACUUGUUUCAAAAUCCCAAAUUGCACAAAUGUGUUAAUAUUUUAAGAAACAAAAUGAAUCCUACAAGGAGAAUGAUUUUUAGCCACACAUAGGGUUGGAUCUUGAGAGUGACCUACAGAAUAAAAGUACUUUUAAAAUAAAGUAGUCAGAGGCUAUUCAAAGGGUAAAAUAAUCAUAGUACCACAUUGGUCCACUUGACACUAACCAAUCGAUCAUUUUUUUUUAAUCAAGAAAGCUAGAUUCUAUCAGAUAAAAUCACUGCUUCUAAAGAGUUUAAAUCUAGUUAGAAAAAGUUAUAGAAAUGUUUGCAAAGAUAAGUAACAGAUAGAGUCAGUAGAGGAUAAGAUCAAAAACAAAACCAAGCAAAAGAUGAGUUCAGGGGAGUUUGCCAUCAAGUUGGCAAAACUGACUUACUUAGGGAAGAAAGUUAUAAAACAGGAAAAUAUGAGAUGAACCUUGAGUGAUGUGGAAGAUUUAGAUAAAUGGAAAGGAAGGAGAAAAUGGAGUUCUUUAGGUGGUUGUAAUUGGAGGAGGAAAUGAAUACACACAUCUUGUUGACUUAAACCCAGACAUUCAGCAGCUCUCUAUACAUAUCUGGAAAAGACUGCACAGUCACCUCCUGUCUCUCACCCCAGGUAUUACUUAGAAUUAUUAUCAUAUUUCCCUUCCUUUAAAGUAAGUAAGGGUGAUUGGUGACAAUAUGGAGAACUAUGAUUUUUCCAUUAACCUAAUAAUAAUUGGUAUUUAUUGAGUUCUGUUAAGCAUUUUACAUAUUAACUCACUUAAGCCUUUCAACAGCCUUGCAAAAUAGGUAUUAUUAUCCCCAUUUUACAGGCAAGAAAACUGAGGUUUAAGUAACUUGCCGAAGUGCCAUAUACAGGGCUCACAUUCAGUAUUGCAGUUGCAAAGCUCAUGAUCUAUAGUGCCAAGUUGCAAUAUUGUAGUCAAUGUCACAAUUAUUACCCCUUUUUAUAUUCCUUGAUAUUUUUCCAUGGCAAACAAUUAGCUAUUUCAUUUAAUAAUCACCUAAAACUUUUCAGUCUUCUGAUUAAAAUUACGCUGGAGUGAUAGAAUGUAUUUUCAUGAUAGAAAUUGGGAAAAAAAAUGGGGAAUGAAGUUUAUCAGCAUUUCAGACUUGUUUUUUUUUUUUUUUUUUGCAAGACUUUGAUGAGAUUGUUCACUUUUGUCUAUGUAAAAUCCCAAAUCCUUGAGAAUAAAAAAGGGGGAGGUUUAAGUCACUUGUUGCAAUGCCCUUUUUAAUAGAGGCAAUAAAUCUAAAGGCCAUAAAUUUAGAGUGACUUACAGAAGAUCGAACUUUGGAGUGUGGCAGAGUAAGGGAUGGAAACCGGGCCCUCCAGUUCACUAUCAGUAGCUUUUGCACUGGUCUGCCCUUCCUAAAUUAAGUAUGCACUUCAAUUUGAUGAGUGGAAACAGUCUAUCUGGGCAGUAACCAGGGAGCUUUGUGCCUAGUAGAUUGCUUCUGUUCUGCACUUCUUUGGUUUCCCACCUCAAUGUAAAAAAUAGCUAGCAAUGAAGUCCAGAAGUUGUCAAUGGUUCAUCCCCAGAAGAAUGCAUAAUGUCCAAAGUUGUAUGUGUAUGAUGUCUUCAAUGGUAUUAAGUUAUUUCAAAUUCUUAGUUCACCUACAUAAAUCAUUUCUAACAAGCAUCUUCUUAACCAACUUUAUGCACAGUGUAUGUUUGUAAGUGCUUCUGCACGAAUGUUUAUACAUGACUGUUUCCAUAGUACUUAUGUUUUUAAAAAUAUUCAGUCAUUUCCUACUAUAAUCCUCAUGUAUCCAUGUAACUGACUCAAAAAUACUUCAGCCACAGAAAGCUAAAACUGAGCAAAUCUCAUUCUUCUUUUCCAUCCCCUUUGCAUGUGGCUGGCAUUUAGUAAUGAUUAAUAAUAUGGCCAGCUGAAUAACAGAGGUUUGAGACACAAUUCUUUCUCAAAGGAGUCAGCUAAGCUGGGUCUACUUAUGGACAAACAUCUAAAUGUGUGGAAGUAUCUGAUAUUUGACAAUGGUAAAUUUCCACUUAGCUAGCUAGCAUUGUCAGACUUCAAUCUCCUCAUGGCUCUGGCCGUCCUGUUUUAAGCAUGAUAAUUGUUGGCCACAUCUCACAUAGUUCUCAUUGAGUGAGUUCAUAAAUAAACAGGGUUUUUUUUUUUUUUUAAAGAGCAGCCAAGCACAAAGUGUGACUUUGUUGACAUUUUAUGUGACUUUGUCAUAUGUUCCUAACCCCCAAUAAAAGCAAUGUUGCAUCAACUGUGAA